RNAcentral lists this ribosomal RNA (439 nucleotides) under uncultured bacterium. RNAcentral describes it as "partial 16S ribosomal RNA". It matches the Rfam family "Bacterial small subunit ribosomal RNA", at positions 339 to 795 of the family's 1533-position model. The record is from RNAcentral.
CUACGGGAUGCAGCAGUGAGGAAUAUUGCACAAUGGGGGGAACCCUGAUGCAGCAACGCCGCGUGGAGGAUGACACUUUUCGGAGCGUAAACUCCUUUUAUAUAGGAAGAAGAUGACGGUACUAUAUGAAUAAGCGCCGGCUAACUCCGUGCCAGCAGCCGCGGUAAUACGGAGGGCGCAAGCGUUACUCGGAAUCACUGGGCGUAAAGAGCGUGUAGGCGGAUUAAAGAGUCAGAAGUGAAAUCCUAUAGCUUAACUAUAGAACUGCUUCUGAAACUCUUAAUCUAGAAUAUGGGAGAGGUAGAUGGAAUUUCUGGUGUAGGGGUAAAAUCCGUAGAGAUCAGAAGGAAUACCGAUUGCGAAGGCGAUCUACUAGAACAUUAUUGACGCUGAGACGCGAAAGCGUGGGGAGCAAACAGGAUUAGAUACCCGUGUAGUC